Molecule: ribosomal RNA, 497 nt
Filed under: uncultured bacterium
Lineage: Bacteria
Description: partial 16S ribosomal RNA
Rfam family: Bacterial small subunit ribosomal RNA
Source: RNAcentral
GAUGAACGCUGGCGGCGUGCCUAAUACAUGCAAGUCGAGCGAACGGACGAGAAGCUUGCUUCUCUGAUGUUAGCGGCGGACGGGUGAGUAACACGUGGAUAACCUACCUAUAAGACUGGGAUAACUUCGGGAAACCGGAGCUAAUACCGGAUAAUAUUUUGAACCGCAUGGUUCAAAAGUGAAAGACGGUCUUGCUGUCACUUAUAGCUGGAUCCGCGCUGCAUUAGCUAGUUGGUAAGGUAACGGCUUACCAAGGCAACGAUGCAUAGCCGACCUGAGAGGGUGAUAGGCCACACGGGAACGGAGACACGGUCCAGACUCCUACGGGAGGCAGCAGUAGGGAAUCUUCCGCAAUGGGCGAAAGCAUGACGGAGCAACGCCGCGUGAGUGAUGAAGGUCUUCGGAUCGUAAAACUCUGUUAUUAGGGAAGAACAUAUGUGUAAGUAACUGUGCACAUCUUGACGGUACCUAAUCAGAAAGCCACGGCUAACUACGUG